UAUGGAAUCUUCCACAAUGGACGAAAGUCUGAUGGAGCAACGCCGCGUGAGUGAAGAAGGGUUUUCGGCUCGUAAAACUCUGUUGUUAAAGAAGAACAUAUCUGAGAGUAACUGUUCAGGUAUUGACGGUAUUUAACCAGAAAGCCACGGCUAACUACGUGCCAC
Molecule: ribosomal RNA, 165 nt
Filed under: uncultured bacterium
Lineage: Bacteria
Description: partial 16S rRNA
Rfam family: Bacterial small subunit ribosomal RNA
Source: RNAcentral